Marmota monax (woodchuck) is the source of this 496-nucleotide long non-coding RNA. RefSeq lists it as uncharacterized. NCBI's taxonomy places the organism in Eukaryota, Metazoa, Chordata, Mammalia, Rodentia, Sciuridae. The transcript has 2 exons. The record is from RefSeq and is a predicted model, not a curated record.
AGGGUCCUGCCAGCCCCCAGGGUGCCUACCGCAGUGCCUGACGGGCCGCGCCGCGGGCCCAGCGCGCAUGCCCGGAGAGGAAGCCCACGCCUCCGCGCGCCGGGCUUGUGACCUGCUUCGAGGUUCAGUAACUUGGCCAAAGUCACGGGGCUAAUAACAGGACUGGACCUGAACGUCGAUUCCAGCGCUUCCUCCCAUCUCACCGAGCUGCCCUUCCACGAGCCCUCGUAGGUCAAGCCACCCACUCUCCCAUGGCUUUUGAGCAGGGACCUGCUGCUUCUACCGGGAAUAUCCACCAUCGCUACCGACUCCUGCCACCUUCUCCACGCCAAGCCCCACUCCCUGAAAACAUAAGCUCCAGAACCCUUUCUUAAUUCCUUUCUGUCUGCGUUAAGAACUCUGCAGUGUGCUGCAUUUAUUUCAAUACAGUCGUCGUGCUGUACUUAUUGCAGGACCAACAAAUAGUAUGUGCUCAAUAAAUGUACAGGCACCUUAA